This is a long non-coding RNA of Zonotrichia albicollis (white-throated sparrow), 820 nucleotides long. Lineage: Eukaryota; Metazoa; Chordata; Aves; Passeriformes; Passerellidae. The record is from Ensembl.
GCUGGAAAGCUCUUCAGAGUCUCAAAAGUCUCAAAAGUCAGAUUUUGUAGGUUUUGGGUGAGAGCAGGCGAGCCAGGUUUGUAUUUUCACAUUUUCAGCUGCUGGGACAGAGGGAUGAGCUGGGAGCUGGCCACUUGGUGGGGAUGUUGGCACGGAGAGUGGCCCUGGAUCCCUGGAUUCAUGUUCCAUUCCUGCCACAGCUCUGCUGAGGAAGCCAAAGGAAAACCUGCUGAAUCUUCAGCUUCAGGAUAACAGCUUUUCAGCUUCCAUAAAUCCUGGGACUAGCCAGCACCAGUCCCACAUGGUGCAAAAUGAGAUGGAGCCUCACUGUUCCUGGGGCUGAAGAAGCAGAACAUGAGGGAGGUGCAGCCUCAGAUGUACCUGAGCACAGCAGCAGCCUCUUCCAGAAGUUCAUUACACCUGAACUCGUGCCUUUUGGGCAGCCAGGGGACAGGCAUGAGAUGAUGACGACGCCUGGGUGUGAAGUCUGCUCCGAGGCCUUCAGUGCAAGUCCUUGGCACACCUCUUCAGACUCAGCCUUCCCCUCCCAUCCUGAAAGUUUCCAAAGUGAUGGGAGAGAAGCCGUGGUUGUGUUUCCCGGGCUGACACCUCCUGCUGAGCAUCCUUCCCUGCAGGAAUGGCAGUCCUGUCGCGUUACCCUGGGCGCGCGCCGCCGUGCCGCUGAUGGGACCAGACAGGAUCCGUCACUGUGCUGAUGUGUCUCCUCCACAAAAAAUCCCGAAUGACACCAGCAUCCGAGAGACGGGGAACAAAGGGGAAAACAAAUAAAAUUAUCUGCUCUGUUUGGUCCCCUCUGGUC